Molecule: long non-coding RNA, 601 nt
Filed under: Triticum aestivum (bread wheat)
Lineage: Eukaryota; Viridiplantae; Streptophyta; Magnoliopsida; Poales; Poaceae
Description: long non-coding RNA (TAES_LNC028483)
Source: RNAcentral
UUCGUGGUAUGCACACAUGUGCAUGCACGCACAAACCUAUAUAUUGUCAACGAAGCCUGGCUCUUAAGUAGACGUGACUGCACAUGCUUCAAACCCGUGCCUUCCGAAAUAAAGCAGCUUGCCUUUUGCACGACCUACUAGGAGGUUCCCUGGCGCCGGAGGCGCCGUGUCACACCACGAGGGACAACGCGCCUCACGAACCAGCACGCUGCACGACCAACACACACUUCGACCUAUGCCCCCCUUCAAAAUGUUUAUGAAAAUUAAACGAGCCGAAGGCGAGCAGGAGGUUCCCUGGCGCCGGAGGCGCCGUGUCACACCACGAGGGACAACGCGCCGCACGAACCAGCACGCUGCACGACCAACACACACUUCGACCUAUGCCCCCCCUUCAAGAUGUUUAUGAAAAUUAAACGAGUCGAAGGCGAGCAGGAGGUUCCCUCGCGCCGGAGGCACCGUGUCACAUCACGGGGGACAACGCGCCGCACGAACCAGCACGCUGCACAACCAACACACACUUCGACCUAUGCCCCCCUUCAAGAUGUUUAUGAAAAUUAAACGAGCCGAAGGUGAGCAGGAGGUUCCCUCGCGCCGGAGGCGC